RNAcentral lists this ribosomal RNA (668 nucleotides) under Acinetobacter sp. 253(2010). RNAcentral describes it as "bacterial SSU rRNA". It matches the Rfam family "Bacterial small subunit ribosomal RNA", at positions 30 to 692 of the family's 1533-position model. The record is from RNAcentral. Lineage: Bacteria; Pseudomonadati; Pseudomonadota; Gammaproteobacteria; Moraxellales; Moraxellaceae.
UGAACGCUGGCGGCAGGCUUAACACAUGCAAGUCGAGCGGGGAAGGGUAGCUUGCUACCUAACCUAGCGGCGGACGGGUGAGUAAUGCUUAGGAAUCUGCCAUUUAGUGGGGGACAACAUUCCGAAAGGAAUGCUAAUACCGCAUACGUCCUACGGGAGAAAGCAGGGGAUCUUCGGACCUUGCGCUAAAUGAUGAGCCUAAGUCGGAUUAGCUAGUUGGUGGGGUAAAGGCCUACCAAGGCGACGAUCUGUAGCGGGUCUGAGAGGAUGAUCCGCCACACUGGGACUGAGACACGGCCCAGACUCCUACGGGAGGCAGCAGUGGGGAAUAUUGGACAAUGGGCGGAAGCCUGAUCCAGCCAUGCCGCGUGUGUGAAGAAGGCCUUAUGGUUGUAAAGCACUUUAAGCGAGGAGGAGGCUACCUAGAUUAAUACUCUAGGAUAGUGGACGUUACUCGCAGAAUAAGCACCGGCUAACUCUGUGCCAGCAGCCGCGGUAAUACAGAGGGUGCGAGCGUUAAUCGGAUUUACUGGGCGUAAAGCGUGCGUAGGCGGCUUUUUAAGUCGGAUGUGAAAUCCCCGAGCUUAACUUGGGAAUUGCAUUCGAUACUGGGAAGCUAGAGUAUGGGAGAGGAUGGUAGAAUUCCAGGUGUAGCGGUGAAAUGCGUA